CUCAACAUGAUAUAAAAACUAGGGUAAACGGCGGCUGUAAUCUGACGGUCCAAAGGUAGCAAAAUUCCUUGUCGGGUAAAUUCCGUCCUGCAUGAAUGGUGUAACGACUUUCCUAAUGUCUCUAAUGUAAGACUUUUUUAAAUAGAAAACUCCUUGAAUAUGAGGAACCCUAUGGCCCGACGGUAAGACCCUGAGCACCUUUACUUCCCU
RNAcentral lists this ribosomal RNA (210 nucleotides) under Isospora lugensae. RNAcentral's name for it is "large subunit ribosomal RNA". It matches the Rfam family "Bacterial large subunit ribosomal RNA", at positions 1900 to 2110 of the family's 2925-position model. Lineage: Eukaryota; Apicomplexa; Conoidasida; Eucoccidiorida; Eimeriidae. The record is from RNAcentral.